CACAUCCCAGGUCCCCUCUUGUCCUCCGUGAGUUCAAGUCACUCGUUUGUUCAGGGAACCACCACUCCCAGCUGGUGCUAGAUGUCGCAACAGCCCCAUGCAGCAGCCCCCCAUGCAGCAGCCUGGCUGAUUUAGCUUUUCCUGGAGGUCCAGGAGCAGGUGGUGCAAUAGACCCUUCUGGGCCUUUUCUGGUACCUUCCUGGUAAGCAGCAAGAAGGACCAGCAGGUGGUGCCAAGCUCACGCGGUCACUGCUGGGAGGGAAAAGCCGCUGCAGCCACUUCCUCAAGUGACUGCUUCCCCAACUGACCAGGUGGCAAGUUCUUACCCUUCUGAGCCUGGGCAGCAUCCUCUGUCCACUCCGCUCUGCUCUUGGGCUUUGCUGAGCUGCGCUGAGCGAGGAACUGGUGAGCAAGCUGCUGUACCUGCACUUUAAGGACGACAAGACCAAAGUCAGCGGGGACGCACUGCAGCUCAUGGCCGAGUUGCUGAAGAUCUUUGUCGUGGAGGCGGCCAUCCGCAGCAUCUGGCAGGCCCAGGCAGAGGACCUGGCCCUCGUGGACGUGGACCAGCUGGAGAAGGUGCUGCCACAGCUGCUUCUAGACUUCUAGGGGUUUCCGUGCUUGCUGCGGCUGCCUGUCCAAGUCACAGCCAAGCCCCGUGUUCAUGUGUCGUCUGUGGCCUCUGACUUCAGGCAAGGAAGGAGCUGCUGAUCCCUGAGAUUCUCCUCCCACCCCGAAGACUGGGCCAGGUCCCAGCAAAAGCACCUCUCCUCCUAGUGUCCUCUCUGCCCUGCUGCCGACAGCCUGGACGCAGCAGAUGGGGGGGCGCUGAGGUGAUGGCGGGCCUGUGUGGGGAGCCAGGCCCAUGGGGUCUGGCGCCACAGCAGGUGCCCAUCCCUCGUGCCUCCCAGGACAGCCGAGCACCCGCUGGCGUGGGAGAAGCGCUGGGUCCUUGGGAAGCAGGUGCUGAGGGAGAAGUGGGGACCAGUCCACCUGAGCAGGUAACCUGUGUGUCUUCUACAAACAAGCGGAGCUGCACACAGUCCUGCCACCCCGACAUCAAAGCUGGUGUGUAACCUUUUAACCAUUUGAUAUUCCCCUCAGAAGAUGCUUCCCUGAGCUAUAAAUUUGUUCUCGUAAAGCAACAUCAAUAAAUCAAAGCUGCCUCUCCCAGG
Molecule: non-coding RNA, 1175 nt
Organism: Ceratotherium simum simum (southern white rhinoceros)
Lineage: Eukaryota; Metazoa; Chordata; Mammalia; Perissodactyla; Rhinocerotidae
Source: RefSeq, a predicted model, not a curated record